Long non-coding RNA from Dreissena polymorpha, 388 nucleotides. RefSeq lists it as uncharacterized. The transcript has 2 exons. Lineage: Eukaryota; Metazoa; Mollusca; Bivalvia; Myida; Dreissenidae. The record is from RefSeq and is a predicted model, not a curated record.
UAGGUGCGAAGAUAAACGCGGUUCAGCUUUCUGAAAGAACAAGUGGAUCCGAUAUGGGAUACACCUGGACUUAUAUUCCACAUGGAACUCAUACGGACCCAUCAAAGCCAUCGUGUUCGAACAAAAUUCAGGAAAGCAGGAAUGUAUACAGGGUGUCUUUUGAUGUACGAGGAUUGGAUUCCCAGAUUACAAACGAGUACGAUCUUAACCAUCAUAACCCCCGAUCUACCAGUACCACUGAGAAGAGUGUUGUUUUCAACUCAAACAACUGAAUUGUAAUCCGGAUCUCCGCAUCUUUGGAAAAAGUCUACCAAUACGCCACUUUGCACAAAAUGCUGAUAAAUUGUAUGUACCAAUCGCAUGCUCAAUACAAUAAAAAUGGUUGAUA